CCGGGCAUGUGUGAUGACAGAACUUUUUUCCCCAUCAGAUCGACCAUGUUGAUCUCAACUCUUCUAAGCCAGUUUGUCUGACAUGCCUGC
Molecule: small nucleolar RNA, 90 nt
Filed under: Neotoma lepida (desert woodrat)
Lineage: Eukaryota; Metazoa; Chordata; Mammalia; Rodentia; Cricetidae
Description: Small nucleolar SNORD12/SNORD106
Rfam family: Small nucleolar SNORD12/SNORD106
About the family: This family belong to the C/D class of snoRNA which contain the C (UGAUGA) and D (CUGA) box motifs. This family includes the human ortholog of mouse snoRNA HBII-99 and human snoRNA U106.
Source: Rfam by way of RNAcentral